GCGUGGAUUUGAAAGAAAAGAACAUACAUGUAUGAAAUCAAUCAAUAAGUUGAAACAAAAGGAGGAAAGCAUUUUUCUUGAAAUUUUUUUUUUUAUCUAUCUUAUCAAUUUUUCACUAAGAGACCAAUAAAAUUAUUUAUGCCAUUUUGAAUCUCUUGAAAGAAAUAUUGAGAUUUUGAUGUUUUUGAUGAUUUAAAUUU
RNAcentral lists this long non-coding RNA (200 nucleotides) under Musa acuminata (dwarf banana). RNAcentral describes it as "long non-coding RNA (MACU_LNC010035)". Lineage: Eukaryota; Viridiplantae; Streptophyta; Magnoliopsida; Zingiberales; Musaceae. The record is from RNAcentral.